ACAAAGAACAGAAGCGACACACAUCUCCAACCCCACCGGCUCCCUGAGCUCCCUCCCAUCCACCCCUCUGUUCUCACUCUCUCUUUCUCUCUCUCCUCUCGGCCAAGCCCAGCAGCAGCAGAAGCCAGAAGGUAAGCUUCCUCGGUGUCCCAGAGAACGGAGCAGCUGCGCCACGAGCUUCACCAUCGGUCACCGUCUUCUUCCCCUCCAUUCCGAAGCCGAGCUCGCGCGCACUCUACCUUUCUUCCCCACUGUCGGCAACCUCCCGAGUUCGACCCCGCCACCAAGAAGCUCGACACCACCUGCUGCUCCGACAUCUUCCUGACCAAGCCCGCCACUCGGUGUGCUCGCUGCACCCAGAGAAUGAAGAGACGGAGAGCAACGUGGACGUGAUCGAGCAUGAUCCCAAGAUUGUUGCUGUUGAUUGUGAAGUCCAAACUCAAAGCAAUCAUCUAAGCAUGUUGCACCCAUACUUUGGAUCAUAUGUUGUUUUAAUUUGACAAAUUAUGAUAUAUGUAUGUCAUACAUGAUAUCUAGUCAAUGUCAGGUUUUGGGUGUA
Molecule: long non-coding RNA, 559 nt
Organism: Phragmites australis (common reed)
Lineage: Eukaryota; Viridiplantae; Streptophyta; Magnoliopsida; Poales; Poaceae
Exons: 2
Source: RefSeq, a predicted model, not a curated record